CUAAAGACGAGUUCUUCUUUCACCCGCCAGCAGUGGAUCAAAAAGAAAAACAUUACAAUGCCAAGACACCAAAAAAGAUACUUGGCAAUGGAAACUUUACAAGGAUCAGAAGUCCUAAGCAUGCAAAAAAUGACUUAAUUUGCUCAUACCUUCCAAGAUAAAGAGUGUCACCAAGCAAAGAAACCCCCAUCACAGAGGCAAUGAUCAUGCCAAGUGGCUUAAUCAUGGAGAGGUAGAGAGGCCCUUUGGUCUUGCACACCCAUGUGUGAGUCACACUCCUUAUAGAUACCACGAAAAAUGCCUAUAAAGGAUCAAUCGCCCAUGAUGUUAUCAAGCACAAAUUUACUAGUCAGAAGUGCUUUUAGCUUUUAUAUUUCAAACAGUUGCAUUCUCUGUACUUGGUGCUUACCGAGUAAACUAUGGUCAUCAACUCUAUGUCAGGCUUCAACUUCCAAGCAUUCACGUCUUUCUCCACUAUCAGAGCCACAAUGGUGGACUGUAUUGUCACGACGACACAAGCUAAGAGUGUCAACAUGAGCUCUGCUGGAUAAUCCUUCACUAUCCAUGUCUGCAGAUUGUGAUUGAAACUGGUCACUGUAUGCUCAAUGGUUUGGAGAGAUUGAGGGACUUUGUAAUGCCCUUUGUGUGUGUUGAACGAUCAAUUAGAUGGUAUAUUACAUGGACUGUCCUUGUACUUGGACAAUGUUGGUUUUUGAGUCAUGACUUUGGAAAUAGCUCUGAUCCCAUCAGAUUCAUUGGACCCAAUUUUCAUCCACAUCAUUCACAAUUAAGCAUCGCCAUGUCAAUGUUAUUUUGGUGAUGCUGGUAUACAUGGAACUUAUCAUAUUCGUCUAGUCAAAAUACAUGAAGGAUCAACUAAUUUACACGCUUUGAUGGACAUACCUGCACAACUAGCAAAAGUGAGACCAAGAAGGCAGCACAGGCGAGAAGAAAGCCACCAAAAAUCCAGCUUGAUUGCAGCUGAAGAGGGAGCUCUUGAGGCAUCGAUGGUGAACCAUUUGUGAGCGGGAGGCCUUUGUAGAGUGUAACAGUGAGAGCACCAGCGAUGCAUACUAUUGUACCCACUAAUUUAGCCAUGCUGCUUUGCACUCUCAAGUCAAUUUUUUCCAUCCUGCAUCAUUAACCAUUUGUUUCAUGUCUUGGUAAGGGCGAGUUAAAUUCGUUUCUUCUUGGAAUCACAAUCCACUCUCUUGUUUGAAUUA
Long non-coding RNA from Eucalyptus grandis, 1223 nucleotides. RefSeq lists it as uncharacterized. The transcript is spliced from 2 exons. The record is from RefSeq and is a predicted model, not a curated record. NCBI's taxonomy places the organism in Eukaryota, Viridiplantae, Streptophyta, Magnoliopsida, Myrtales, Myrtaceae.